This 323-nucleotide ribosomal RNA is filed under the name uncultured Pseudomonadota bacterium. RNAcentral's name for it is "bacterial SSU rRNA". It matches the Rfam family "Bacterial small subunit ribosomal RNA", at positions 30 to 351 of the family's 1533-position model. Lineage: Bacteria; Pseudomonadati; Pseudomonadota. The record is from RNAcentral.
AUUGAACGCUGGCGGCAUGCCUUACACAUGCAAGUCGAACGGCAGCACGGGGGGUAACCCCUGGUGGCGAGUGGCGAACGGGUGAGUAAUAUAUCGGAACGUACCCUGUAGCGGGGGAUAACCUAUCGAAAGAUGGACUAAUACCGCAUACGACCUACGGGUGAAAGCGGAGGACCGCAAGGCUUCGCACUAUAGGAGCGGCCGAUAUCGGAUUAGCUAGUUGGUGGGGUAAAGGCCUACCAAGCCAACGAUCUGUAGCUGGUCUGAGAGGACGACCAGCCACACUGGGACUGAGACACGGCCCAGACUCCUACGGGUGGCAG